GAUAAUUGAACUUCACAAAUACAAGGUUUCAGACAUGAAAUUUUACAGUAUAAUAAAAAUAACCUCGGACCAAUUUCCUUUCCUAUAAAAUUAUGACACACAAAGAAAGAGUACAAAGAUGAUCACAGUUUUUUCUUUUAUUUUCUAUGGCAAAUAACAUACUGCAAAUAGGUACCAAACAUGACAGACAGGAACUACACAUAAAAACUUAAAAUGGAAAAGCAAACCAAAUUCUUCAAAAUUGUUUCUUUUUUGUAGGACUAGUUUAUAAAUUAUAAUGGCUAUGAGGGUCUUGUCUGCUGCUUCAUGCCAUCAGAGGGAAGCUGAGCAGAAGAACCUUCCGGCAGCACCAUAGCAGCAGCCGUCAUGGUCUGAUACUGUGAAGGCAUUGUGGGCGCCAGAGGUUGAGAGUAGUAUAUUUGAGCAUGAGCAGGAUCCACAUAAUCAUAAGCAUAAUUAGCCGGUGGAGCAGAAUUUGGGGCUAUGGACUGAGAUGGAUGAUGGAUUUGGGAGUAAGUCACAUAUUGCUGCUGAUGCUGAAGCUGAUUUGCGGGAACCUGAACUAAUUGAGGGCUACCUCCAGUUGCAGUUCUGUAACCUGCUGCUGUCAUUUCAGUUUUAGGUAAAGGAGCAUUUCUCAUGGGGUUGUUGUAAGCUGCAGUUUGAGGAACCAAUGUAGUAGGAUUUGGAGGAGUUUGCGGUUUUCCAGAUUCACCCAUAUUAGCCUGCUGCAUAGACAAGUUGUAAGCUUGGGCUUGUCUUGCAGGUACAUAGUAAACUUGGGCAUGCUGGGGAUGAGUCUGUUGCUGGGAAGGAUAUACAGGAUAAUAUGCAGGAAUUGCAUUUGCCUUUUAAACCUCGUACAAUUAGCAGCUAUUAAUUACAAAUCAUCUUGUACUUAGUGCAUGCUUCAAUACAAUAAAGCAUCGAAUCUAAUACGUUUUGCUGCAACUAACGUCACAUGAAAUUCAGCAAAACCGACAUAAGCAACGUGCACUCUGUUAUGCAAGGUUAUCUUAAUCUUAAUUCUUAAAGUUCACUAGACGUCAAAUUGUCUUAUCAAAUUGUUUCACUAGUCAUCCAUUUGUGUUUUGGUCAAGAAAUUGAUCUGGUUUUCAUCAUAAGUACCUGAAUUUGUUGCUCUUGUAAGCAUCGUAUAGCGUUAGAACUCAGACGCACAAGUUGCCUGAGUGACGUGAUCUGAUUGCAUUCUUGCAUAAUAUGAAAAGCAUGUCAUUGAGUGCCAAUUGAGCACACUCCAAAGCAACUUAAGCAAAAAUAUUUAGAUCUUUGGAUAUCAGUUGACCAACUGACAUUAGUACUUACUUCGAGAUAAAAAGCAAAAUGAAACUUUUCUUACCUUUAAGAAUUGAAAUGAAAGUCAAAUUACAUUCAACUGGUAUUCAAACACAAACUAACACAAACUACCUGUUAUAUGAACAUAAUUUUGGUGUCAGAAUGCAAUUUCAAACAUGCAACCAAACAUGGAUCUGAGAUAAUUGCACUUUUUCUUGUUUGAUCUUUGUAUGAAGUCAUACUCUGCAGCUUGAAAUGAUAAUAAAGGAUCCUACUUGAUCAUAGAGAAGCAAAAAGGGAAGAAUCAUUCUCCCGGCAAUGCAUUUCAAAUUUGGCAUGCUGGUGAUGAUUCAUGAAGUAGAUUUCAUUAAGGAGAAUCAAACUCAACAUUGGCAAGGACAAUUUUGUCUGGUCAUUGGCAGCAAAAUGUAGCCAAUCAGUUGAAAUGUGAUUUUCCCAUAGGAAACAAACAAGAGGUAAAAAUGCCAGCUAAACGUGUUAACAAUUCAUGACUAGGCACAAGCCACUUUGUGGUCCUUCAUAGCUGUGGUCGUACAAAGGACCAGAGCAAGAAGCAAGAAACAAUACCCGCCAAUAUAUAUGACAACCAAUUCAGGAAUCGAUAAUUGAACUUCACAAAUACAAGGUUUCAGACAUGAAAUUUUACAGUAUAAUAAAAAUAACCUCGGACCAAUUUCCUUUCCUAUAAAAUUAUGACACACAAAGAAAGAGUACAAAGAUGAUCACAGUUUUUUCUUUUAUUUUCUAUGGCAAAUAACAUACUGCAAAUAGGUACCAAACAUGACAGACAGGAACUACACAUAAAAACUUAA
This 2129-nucleotide long non-coding RNA is filed under the name Lotus japonicus. RNAcentral describes it as "long non-coding RNA (LJAP_LNC000858)". Lineage: Eukaryota; Viridiplantae; Streptophyta; Magnoliopsida; Fabales; Fabaceae. The record is from RNAcentral.